AUGAACGAAAUAAUGUACUCUUUUAAGAAGGAAGGUGGGAAUUAAAGACCAACUCACUUCAUGCAAGCGUUCAGAGACGUGGUGGAUGAGUGUAACUUAUCAGAUCAUGGAUUCAUCGAUGAUAAAUUUACUUGGCAUCGUGCCCUUAUCAGAGAACGGUUAGAUCGUGCUCUCGUGAAUGAUGGAUGGAAUUCGAUGUUUCCAGGGGCAGUCUUACAACAUUUGGAUUUUUACAAGUCGGGUCAUAAGCCGAUUAUUAUGAACAUGAAUGAAGAGAUCUGUCAGGAUACUGUGUGA
Molecule: ribosomal RNA, 297 nt
Filed under: Triticum aestivum (bread wheat)
Lineage: Eukaryota; Viridiplantae; Streptophyta; Magnoliopsida; Poales; Poaceae
Description: partial small subunit ribosomal RNA
Source: RNAcentral